GGAAAUUAAAAGUUGAACAAACUUCUUUUUUUAAUAUCUGCAUUAAAAAAGCAUCCUAAUCCAACAUCGAGGUCGCAAACUUUUUUGUCAAUAUGAUCUAUCAAAAAAUAUAACGCUGUUAUCCCUAGAGUAUUUAACAUAUAAUCAUUAAUAAUGGAUCAUUUUAUUUCUAAAAAGUUUAAAAUAUUUUUUAGCCGCCCCAGCCAAAAUUUUUUCAAUAGUAAUUACAUAUUGAAUAAAAUUUAAUAAAUUCAUAGGGUCUUCUUGUCCUUAAUAUUAAUAAUUGUUUCUGCACAAAUUAAAAAAAUUUCAAUUUUUAAUUUAAAAAAAGUUUUUUUCUGGACUUCCAUUCUCUUAGCAUUCAAUUAAAAUCUUAUUUCAAUACCUUUGUAUAGUCAAAAUA
Molecule: ribosomal RNA, 403 nt
Filed under: Rhipicephalus sanguineus (brown dog tick)
Lineage: Eukaryota; Metazoa; Arthropoda; Arachnida; Ixodida; Ixodidae
Description: partial 16S ribosomal RNA
Source: RNAcentral